RNAcentral lists this ribosomal RNA (440 nucleotides) under uncultured bacterium. Its description in RNAcentral is "partial 16S ribosomal RNA". It matches the Rfam family "Bacterial small subunit ribosomal RNA", at positions 338 to 795 of the family's 1533-position model. The record is from RNAcentral.
CCUACGGGGGGCAGCAGUAGGGGAUAUUGCUCAAUGGGGGAAACCCUGAUGCAGCAACGCCGCGUGGAGGAUGAAGGUUUUCGGAUCGUAAACUCCUUUUGUCAGAGAAGAAAAUGACGGUAUCUAACGAAUAAGCACCGGCUAACUCCGUGCCAGCAGCCGCGGUAAUACGUAGGGUGCAAGCGUUACUCGGAAUUACUGGGGGUAAAGAGCGCGUAGGCGGGAAAGCAAGUCAGAUGUGAAAGCCUAGGGCUUAACCAUAGGACUGCAUUUGAAACUGUUAUUCUGGAGUAUGGGAGAGGUAGGUGGAAUUCUUGGUGUAGGGGUAAAAUGCGUAGAGAUUAAGAGGAACACUCAUGGCGAAGGCGACCUGCUAGAACAUAACUGACGCUGAGGCGCGAAGGCGUGGGGAGCAAACAGGAUUAGAUACCCGUGUAGUC